CCGCAGUUGAUGCUUGCCGGCAAAACUGUCCAGCGCCUCGCGCGUGCCGAGCAGGGCCAACCGGGUGCCGGGUUCGAUGCCCAGGCUGCGGUCCA
This 95-nucleotide transfer RNA is filed under the name Thiohalobacter sp. COW1. Its description in RNAcentral is "tRNA-Ala". Lineage: Bacteria; Pseudomonadati; Pseudomonadota; Gammaproteobacteria; Thiohalobacterales; Thiohalobacteraceae. The record is from RNAcentral.